Molecule: microRNA precursor, 168 nt
Filed under: Oryza brachyantha (malo sina)
Lineage: Eukaryota; Viridiplantae; Streptophyta; Magnoliopsida; Poales; Poaceae
Description: MIR812 microRNA precursor family
Rfam family: MIR812 microRNA precursor family
Source: Rfam by way of RNAcentral
UAUAAUUUUUAACUCUUCGUCUUAUUCAAAUGUUUUUUAUGAUUGAUAUUUUUAUUUUUAUUAGAUGAUAAAUCAUGCAUAGUACUUUAUGUGUGACUAAUUUUUUCUAAUUUUUUAAAAAAAUUUUAAAUAAAACGAAUAGUCAAACGUUAGAUACGGAAACUGAAG